Myotis davidii is the source of this 75-nucleotide non-coding RNA. Lineage: Eukaryota; Metazoa; Chordata; Mammalia; Chiroptera; Vespertilionidae. The record is from Rfam.
AGCAGUUCUCAGGUGACGCACCCCAGAACGAGAGAGGAGGGAGCCGAUUCUGGGGUGCAUCACCUGAGAACUGCC